RNAcentral lists this ribosomal RNA (274 nucleotides) under uncultured bacterium. Its description in RNAcentral is "partial 16S ribosomal RNA". It matches the Rfam family "Bacterial small subunit ribosomal RNA", at positions 523 to 796 of the family's 1533-position model. The record is from RNAcentral.
AUACGGAGGGUGCAAGCGUUAAUCGGAAUUACUGGGCGUAAAGCGUACGUAGGCGGUCCGUUAAGUUAGAUGUGAAAGCCCCGGGCUUAACCUGGGAACUGCAUUUAAAACUGGCGGACUAGAGUUGAGUAGAGGGGAGUGGAAUUUCAGGUGUAGCGGUGAAAUGCGUAGAGAUCUGAAGGAACACCAGUGGCGAAGGCGACUCCCUGGACUCGAACUGACGCUGAGGUACGAAAGCGUGGGUAGCAAACGGGAGUAGAUACCCUAGUAGUCC